CUCCUACGGGAGGCAGCAGUGGGGAAUAUUGGACAAUGGGGGGAACCCUGAUCCAGCCAUGCCGCGUGUGUGAAGAAGGCCUUAUGGUUGUAAAGCACUUUAAGCGAGGAGGAGGCUACUUUAGUUAAUACCUAGAGAUAGUGGACGUUACUCGCAGAAUAAGCACCGGCUAACUCUGUGCCAGCAGCCGCGGUAAUACAGAGGGUGCAAGCGUUAAUCGGAUUUACUGGGCGUAAAGCGCGCGUAGGCGGCUAAUUAAGUCAAAUGUGAAAUCCCCGAGCUUAACUUGGGAAUUGCAUUCGAUACUGGUUAGCUAGAGUGUGGGAGAGGAUGGUAGAAUUCCAGGUGUAGCGGUGAAAUGCGUAGAGAUCUGGAGGAAUACCGAUGGCGAAGGCAGCCAUCUGGCCUAACACUGACGCUGAGGUGCGAAAGCAUGGGGAGCAAACAGGAUUAGAUACCCUGGUAGUCCAUGCCGUAAACGAUGUCUACUAGCCGUUGGGGCCUUUGAGGCUUUAGUGGCGCAGCUAACGCGAUAAGUAGACCGCCUGGGGAGUACGGUCGCAAGACUAAAACUCAAAUGAAUUGACGGGGGCCCGCACAAGCGGUGGAGCAUGUGGCUUAAUUCGAUGCAACGCGAAGAACCUUACCUGGUCUUGACAUAGUGAGAAUCCUGCAGAGAUGCGGGAGUGCCUUCGGGAAUUCACAUACAGGUGCUGCAUGGCUGUCGUCAGCUCGUGUCGUGAGAUGUUGGGUUAAGUCCCGCAACGAGCGCAACCCUUUUCCUUAUUUGCCAGCGGGUUAAGCCGGGAACUUUAAGGAUACUGCCAGUGACAAACUGGAGGAAGGCGGGGACGACGUCAAGUCAUCAUGGCCCUUACGACCAGGGCUACACACGUGCUACAAUGGUAGGUACAGAGGGUUGCUACACAGCGAUGUGAUGCUAAUCUCAAAAAGCCUAUCGUAGUCCGGAUUGGAGUCUGCAACUCGACUCCAUGAAGUCGGAAUCGCUAGUAAUCGCAGAUCAGAAUGCUGCGGUGAAUACGUUCCCGGGCCUUGUACACACCGCCCGU
Molecule: ribosomal RNA, 1070 nt
Filed under: uncultured Acinetobacter sp.
Lineage: Bacteria; Pseudomonadati; Pseudomonadota; Gammaproteobacteria; Moraxellales; Moraxellaceae
Description: bacterial SSU rRNA
Rfam family: Bacterial small subunit ribosomal RNA
Source: RNAcentral